Molecule: ribosomal RNA, 443 nt
Filed under: uncultured bacterium
Lineage: Bacteria
Description: partial 16S ribosomal RNA
Rfam family: Bacterial small subunit ribosomal RNA
Source: RNAcentral
CCUACGGGAGGCAGCAGUGGGGAAUAUUGGUCAAUGGGCGCAAGCCUGACCCAGCAACGCCGCGUGAAGGAAGAAGGCUCUCGGGUUGUAAACUUCUUUUAUCAGGGACGAAGCAAGUGACGGUACCUGAUGAAUAAGCCAUGGCUAACUACGUGCCAGCAGCCGCGGUAAUACGUAGGUGGCCAGCGUUAUCCGGAUUUACUGGGUGUAAAGGGCGUGUAGGCGGGAAAGCAAGUCAGAUGUGAAAACCAUGGGCUCAAACUUUGGCCUGGAGUUGAAACUGUUUUUCUUGAGUACUGGAGAGGCAGACGGAAUUCGUAGUGUAGCGGUGAAAGGCGUAGAUAUUAGGAGGAACACCAGUGGCGAAGGCGGUCUGCUGGACAGCAACUGACGCUGAGGCGCGAAAGCGUGGGGAUCAAACAGGAUUAGAUACCCUUGUAGUC